Olea europaea var. sylvestris is the source of this 618-nucleotide long non-coding RNA. RefSeq lists it as uncharacterized. The record is from RefSeq and is a predicted model, not a curated record. NCBI's taxonomy places the organism in Eukaryota, Viridiplantae, Streptophyta, Magnoliopsida, Lamiales, Oleaceae. The transcript is spliced from 2 exons.
UAACUUAUCUCCUUAAAGAUGGUUGGCUCACGAUUUUCUCCUCAUUGCUUAUUAUUUUUCUCAACAAUUACUCAUUCAUUUUAUUGGCUGAAUGUGCAGCAUACAGAAAGAUCCUAAAGACAGAUCUUCAGCUCUGGAUCUACUGAAUCACCCCUUCAUCAAGAAGUUUGAAGACAAAGACAUUGAUCUAGGCAUUCUUGUUGGUAGCUUGGAGCCUCCUGUCCGAUAAUGACCGUCCCCGCGUAAAAUGUUUCUAGCCUAUAUUGCAUCACCUACUAGCAUGAUAUUAUAUUGGUGGCAUUUUUGUGGCAUGUUACAAGAAUCACUUGGCUACUGAUACAUGGCCUUUUUCAAUGUUAUAAGCACAAAAUAUAUCCCGAUUCAGUAACUAUUGUGACUUAUGAGCUAUAGCUUCUAAGACCUCAGCGUCUUGAUGCAUAGAUCAUUAUAUUGCAUAAAAUCAGCUUGUUUGAGCUCAGAUUCAGCUGAAUCUCUAUGUCAAUUUGUUCCUGAAUCAACUGGCAUGAACUUGUGUAGUCGAGACAAAUACAGUGCAUCCUAAAGUCUUCAUAGUUAUACUGUAUCAUCAUAAAAUUCUCCAUGAAGAAUCAAAUUUAA